This 2913-nucleotide ribosomal RNA is filed under the name Enterococcus faecium EnGen0027. RNAcentral's name for it is "bacterial LSU rRNA". It matches the Rfam family "Bacterial large subunit ribosomal RNA". Lineage: Bacteria; Bacillati; Bacillota; Bacilli; Lactobacillales; Enterococcaceae. The record is from RNAcentral.
UUAAGUGAAUAAGGGCGCACGGUGGAUGCCUUGGCACUAGGAGCCGAUGAAGGACGGGACUAACACCGAUAUGCUUUGGGGAGCUGUACGUAAGCUAUGAUCCAGAGAUUUCCGAAUGGGGGAACCCAACAUCUUUAAUAGGAUGUUACGAUUGUGUGAAUACAUAGCACAUUCGAGGUAGACGCAGAGAACUGAAACAUCUAAGUACCUGCAGGAAGAGAAAGAAAAUUCGAUUCCCUGAGUAGCGGCGAGCGAAACGGGAAAAGCCCAAACCAGCAAGCUUGCUUGUUGGGGUUGUAGGACUCCAAUAUGGUAGUUCUUUCAGAUAGUCGAAUGACUUGGAAAAGUCAGUCAAAGAGGGUAAAAACCCCGUAGACGAAAUGUGGAAGACACCUAGGAGGAUCCUGAGUACGGCGGAACACGAGAAAUUCCGUCGGAAUCCGGGAGGACCAUCUCCCAAGGCUAAAUACUCCCUAGUGACCGAUAGUGAACCAGUACCGUGAGGGAAAGGUGAAAAGCACCCCGGAAGGGGAGUGAAAUAGAACCUGAAACCGUGUGCCUACAACAAGUCAAAGCCCGUUAAUGGGUGAUGGCGUGCCUUUUGUAGAAUGAACCGGCGAGUUACGAUUGCAUGCGAGGUUAAGUUGAAGAGACGGAGCCGCAGCGAAAGCGAGUCUGAAUAGGGCGUUUGAGUAUGUAGUCGUAGACCCGAAACCAUGUGAUCUACCCAUGUCCAGGUUGAAGGUGCGGUAAAACGCACUGGAGGACCGAACCCACGUACGUUGAAAAGUGCGGGGAUGAGGUGUGGGUAGCGGAGAAAUUCCAAACGAACUUGGAGAUAGCUGGUUCUCUCCGAAAUAGCUUUAGGGCUAGCCUCGGAAUUGAGAAUGAUGGAGGUAGAGCACUGUUUGGACUAGGGGCCCAUCUCGGGUUACCGAAUUCAGAUAAACUCCGAAUGCCAUUCAUUCAUAUCCGGGAGUCAGACUGUGAGUGAUAAGAUCCAUAGUCGAAAGGGAAACAGCCCAGACCACCAGCUAAGGUCCCAAAAUAUAUGUUAAGUGGAAAAGGAUGUGGGGUUGCACAGACAACUAGGAUGUUGGCUUAGAAGCAGCCAUCAUUUAAAGAGUGCGUAAUAGCUCACUAGUCGAGUGACCCUGCGCCGAAAAUGUACCGGGGCUAAACAUAUUACCGAAGCUGUGGAGUACACCUUUAGGUGUAUUGGUAGGAGAGCGUUCUAAGGGCGUUGAAGGCAGAUCGUGAGGACUGCUGGAGCGCUUAGAAGUGAGAAUGCCGGUAUGAGUAGCGAAAGACAGGUGAGAAUCCUGUCCACCGAAUGACUAAGGUUUCCUGGGGAAGGCUCGUCCGCCCAGGGUUAGUCGGGACCUAAGCCGAGGCCGACAGGCGUAGGCGAUGGAUAACAGGUUGAUAUUCCUGUACCCGUUGUUUUUGUUUGAGCAAUGGAGGGACGCAGGAGGCUAAGGAAUGCAGACGAUCGGAAAUGUCUGUCCAAGCAGUAAGUCUGAAGAGGAGUCAAAUGCUUCUUUUCUUAAGGACAAGCUGUGAUGGGGAGGGAAAUAAUAGUACCGAAGUUCCUGAUGUCACACUGCCGAGAAAAGCUUCUAGUGAGAAAACAGCGGCCCGUACCGCAAACCGACACAGGUAGUCGAGGAGAGAAUCCUAAGGUGAGCGAGAGAACUCUCGUUAAGGAACUCGGCAAAAUGACCCCGUAACUUCGGGAGAAGGGGUGCUGAUCAUACGAUCAGCCGCAGUGAAUAGGCCCAAGCGACUGUUUAUCAAAAACACAGGUCUCUGCAAAAUCGUAAGAUGAAGUAUAGGGGCUGACGCCUGCCCGGUGCUGGAAGGUUAAGAGGAGUGCUUAGCGCAAGCGAAGGUACGAAUUGAAGCCCCAGUAAACGGCGGCCGUAACUAUAACGGUCCUAAGGUAGCGAAAUUCCUUGUCGGGUAAGUUCCGACCCGCACGAAAGGCGUAACGAUUUGGGCACUGUCUCAACGAGAGACUCGGUGAAAUUUUAGUACCUGUGAAGAUGCAGGUUACCCGCGACAGGACGGAAAGACCCCAUGGAGCUUUACUGUAGUUUGAUAUUGAGUGUCUGUACCGCAUGUACAGGAUAGGUAGGAGCCGUAGAAAUCGGAACGCUAGUUUCGAUGGAGGCGCUGGUGGGAUACUACCCCUGCGUUAUGGCCACUCUAACCCGCACCACUAAUCGUGGUGGGAGACAGUGUCAGAUGGGCAGUUUGACUGGGGCGGUCGCCUCCUAAAAGGUAACGGAGGCGCCCAAAGGUUCCCUCAGAAUGGUUGGAAAUCAUUCGAAGAGUGUAAAGGCAGAAGGGAGCUUGACUGCGAGACCAACAAGUCGAGCAGGGACGAAAGUCGGGCUUAGUGAUCCGGUGGUUCCGCAUGGAAGGGCCAUCGCUCAACGGAUAAAAGCUACCCUGGGGAUAACAGGCUUAUCUCCCCCAAGAGUCCACAUCGACGGGGAGGUUUGGCACCUCGAUGUCGGCUCGUCGCAUCCUGGGGCUGUAGUCGGUCCCAAGGGUUGGGCUGUUCGCCCAUUAAAGCGGCACGCGAGCUGGGUUCAGAACGUCGUGAGACAGUUCGGUCCCUAUCCGUCGCGGGCGUUGGAAAUUUGAGAGGAGCUGUCCUUAGUACGAGAGGACCGGGAUGGACUUACCGCUGGUGUACCAGUUGUUCUGCCAAGGGCAUUGCUGGGUAGCUAUGUAGGGAAGGGAUAAACGCUGAAAGCAUCUAAGUGUGAAGCCCACCUCAAGAUGAGAUUUCCCAUUUCUUUAAGAAAGUAAGAUCCCUGAGAGAUGACCAGGUAGAUAGGUCAGGAGUGGAAGUACAGUGAUGUAUGGAGCGGACUGAUACUAAUCGAUCGAGGACUUAACCAA